RNAcentral lists this ribosomal RNA (447 nucleotides) under uncultured bacterium. RNAcentral describes it as "bacterial SSU rRNA". It matches the Rfam family "Bacterial small subunit ribosomal RNA", at positions 355 to 825 of the family's 1533-position model. The record is from RNAcentral.
UCGGGAAUUUUGGGCAAUGGGCGAAAGCCUGACCCAGCAACGCCGCGUGAAGGAUGAAGUAUUUCGGUAUGUAAACUUCGAAAGAAUAGGAAGAAUAAAUGACGGUACUAUUUAUAAGGUCCGGCUAACUACGUGCCAGCAGCCGCGGUAAUACGUAGGGACCAAGCGUUGUUCGGAUUUACUGGGCGUAAAGGGCGCGUAGGCGGCAAUUCAAGUCAUCUGUGAAAUCUCCGGGCUUAACUCGGAACGGUCAGAUGAUACUGCUUUGCUAGAGUGCAGAAGGGGCAAUCGGAAUUCUUGGUGUAGCGGUGAAAUGCGUAGAUAUCAAGAGGAACACCUGAGGUGAAGACGGGUUGCUGGGCUGACACUGACGCUGAGGCGCGAAAGCCAGGGGAGCAAACGGGAUUAGAUACCCUAGUAGUCCCUGAGCGGGCUGGCAAGGCGCAU